Molecule: ribosomal RNA, 2904 nt
Filed under: Escherichia coli
Lineage: Bacteria; Pseudomonadati; Pseudomonadota; Gammaproteobacteria; Enterobacterales; Enterobacteriaceae
Description: 23S ribosomal RNA
Rfam family: Bacterial large subunit ribosomal RNA
Source: RNAcentral
GGUUAAGCGACUAAGCGUACACGGUGGAUGCCCUGGCAGUCAGAGGCGAUGAAGGACGUGCUAAUCUGCGAUAAGCGUCGGUAAGGUGAUAUGAACCGUUAUAACCGGCGAUUUCCGAAUGGGGAAACCCAGUGUGUUUCGACACACUAUCAUUAACUGAAUCCAUAGGUUAAUGAGGCGAACCGGGGGAACUGAAACAUCUAAGUACCCCGAGGAAAAGAAAUCAACCGAGAUUCCCCCAGUAGCGGCGAGCGAACGGGGAGCAGCCCAGAGCCUGAAUCAGUGUGUGUGUUAGUGGAAGCGUCUGGAAAGGCGCGCGAUACAGGGUGACAGCCCCGUACACAAAAAUGCACAUGCUGUGAGCUCGAUGAGUAGGGCGGGACACGUGGUAUCCUGUCUGAAUAUGGGGGGACCAUCCUCCAAGGCUAAAUACUCCUGACUGACCGAUAGUGAACCAGUACCGUGAGGGAAAGGCGAAAAGAACCCCGGCGAGGGGAGUGAAAAAGAACCUGAAACCGUGUACGUACAAGCAGUGGGAGCACGCUUAGGCGUGUGACUGCGUACCUUUUGUAUAAUGGGUCAGCGACUUAUAUUCUGUAGCAAGGUUAACCGAAUAGGGGAGCCGAAGGGAAACCGAGUCUUAACUGGGCGUUAAGUUGCAGGGUAUAGACCCGAAACCCGGUGAUCUAGCCAUGGGCAGGUUGAAGGUUGGGUAACACUAACUGGAGGACCGAACCGACUAAUGUUGAAAAAUUAGCGGAUGACUUGUGGCUGGGGGUGAAAGGCCAAUCAAACCGGGAGAUAGCUGGUUCUCCCCGAAAGCUAUUUAGGUAGCGCCUCGUGAAUUCAUCUCCGGGGGUAGAGCACUGUUUCGGCAAGGGGGUCAUCCCGACUUACCAACCCGAUGCAAACUGCGAAUACCGGAGAAUGUUAUCACGGGAGACACACGGCGGGUGCUAACGUCCGUCGUGAAGAGGGAAACAACCCAGACCGCCAGCUAAGGUCCCAAAGUCAUGGUUAAGUGGGAAACGAUGUGGGAAGGCCCAGACAGCCAGGAUGUUGGCUUAGAAGCAGCCAUCAUUUAAAGAAAGCGUAAUAGCUCACUGGUCGAGUCGGCCUGCGCGGAAGAUGUAACGGGGCUAAACCAUGCACCGAAGCUGCGGCAGCGACGCUUAUGCGUUGUUGGGUAGGGGAGCGUUCUGUAAGCCUGUGAAGGUGUGCUGUGAGGCACGCUGGAGGUAUCAGAAGUGCGAAUGCUGACAUAAGUAACGAUAAAGCGGGUGAAAAGCCCGCUCGCCGGAAGACCAAGGGUUCCUGUCCAACGUUAAUCGGGGCAGGGUGAGUCGACCCCUAAGGCGAGGCCGAAAGGCGUAGUCGAUGGGAAACAGGUUAAUAUUCCUGUACUUGGUGUUACUGCGAAGGGGGGACGGAGAAGGCUAUGUUGGCCGGGCGACGGUUGUCCCGGUUUAAGCGUGUAGGCUGGUUUUCCAGGCAAAUCCGGAAAAUCAAGGCUGAGGCGUGAUGACGAGGCACUACGGUGCUGAAGCAACAAAUGCCCUGCUUCCAGGAAAAGCCUCUAAGCAUCAGGUAACAUCAAAUCGUACCCCAAACCGACACAGGUGGUCAGGUAGAGAAUACCAAGGCGCUUGAGAGAACUCGGGUGAAGGAACUAGGCAAAAUGGUGCCGUAACUUCGGGAGAAGGCACGCUGAUAUGUAGGUGAAGUCCCUCGCGGAUGGAGCUGAAAUCAGUCGAAGAUACCAGCUGGCUGCAACUGUUUAUUAAAAACACAGCACUGUGCAAACACGAAAGUGGACGUAUACGGUGUGACGCCUGCCCGGUGCCGGAAGGUUAAUUGAUGGGGUUAGCGCAAGCGAAGCUCUUGAUCGAAGCCCCGGUAAACGGCGGCCGUAACUAUAACGGUCCUAAGGUAGCGAAAUUCCUUGUCGGGUAAGUUCCGACCUGCACGAAUGGCGUAAUGAUGGCCAGGCUGUCUCCACCCGAGACUCAGUGAAAUUGAACUCGCUGUGAAGAUGCAGUGUACCCGCGGCAAGACGGAAAGACCCCGUGAACCUUUACUAUAGCUUGACACUGAACAUUGAGCCUUGAUGUGUAGGAUAGGUGGGAGGCUUUGAAGUGUGGACGCCAGUCUGCAUGGAGCCGACCUUGAAAUACCACCCUUUAAUGUUUGAUGUUCUAACGUGGACCCGUAAUCCGGGUUGCGGACAGUGUCUGGUGGGUAGUUUGACUGGGGCGGUCUCCUCCUAAAGAGUAACGGAGGAGCACGAAGGUUGGCUAAUCCUGGUCGGACAUCAGGAGGUUAGUGCAAUGGCAUAAGCCAGCUUGACUGCGAGCGUGACGGCGCGAGCAGGUGCGAAAGCAGGUCAUAGUGAUCCGGUGGUUCUGAAUGGAAGGGCCAUCGCUCAACGGAUAAAAGGUACUCCGGGGAUAACAGGCUGAUACCGCCCAAGAGUUCAUAUCGACGGCGGUGUUUGGCACCUCGAUGUCGGCUCAUCACAUCCUGGGGCUGAAGUAGGUCCCAAGGGUAUGGCUGUUCGCCAUUUAAAGUGGUACGCGAGCUGGGUUUAGAACGUCGUGAGACAGUUCGGUCCCUAUCUGCCGUGGGCGCUGGAGAACUGAGGGGGGCUGCUCCUAGUACGAGAGGACCGGAGUGGACGCAUCACUGGUGUUCGGGUUGUCAUGCCAAUGGCACUGCCCGGUAGCUAAAUGCGGAAGAGAUAAGUGCUGAAAGCAUCUAAGCACGAAACUUGCCCCGAGAUGAGUUCUCCCUGACUCCUUGAGAGUCCUGAAGGAACGUUGAAGACGACGACGUUGAUAGGCCGGGUGUGUAAGCGCAGCGAUGCGUUGAGCUAACCGGUACUAAUGAACCGUGAGGCUUAACCUU